Molecule: long non-coding RNA, 1210 nt
Filed under: Bos indicus x Bos taurus (hybrid cattle)
Lineage: Eukaryota; Metazoa; Chordata; Mammalia; Artiodactyla; Bovidae
Description: lncRNA (ENSBIXG00005017667.1)
Source: RNAcentral
CCAGAACCCAAAAGUGCCAGGAACCUAACAGGGGCUCAUUAAUAUUUGUGGAAUGGAAAAAAAGUGACAUAGCAAGAUUCACACCCAGGUCUUCUGCCUUCCUCCAAGGCCACGCUGCUUUUAAGUUACCCUGUGUGAGAGGGGAAGGCCGGAGAGAGACUAAGGGGGCCAGGGGAGAGCAGCAGAAUGGCCUUGAUGCCUGGCUCUCCCAAGACAACGUUCUCUGUGGGCCACCGCCCAGGGGCGAAGUUGGCAGCUGCCAGGAGGGAGAGCAGGGGCUGGGCUGGAGAGGUGCAAAUAUCUGCGCGUUACCCUGCCAGCCACAUCUGAUCACAACCCUGUGUGUUUUGACCGAGAAGCUCUACCUGCCUCUCGGGAUUGAUGUGAAGAUUAAUGCCUGUUUAGCAAAUUACAGCUUCCCCAGCACCUCCUGCUCCUGGGAGAGAAGGCGCCUUGGAAACGGAAAAUAAAAACAAACCUCAGCGCUCCGUGUCAAGGCUUGGCCACAGCAAUGACAGCUGGGCCCAACUCGACAGAGCGUGGAGGCUUAGCAAAGCGAGGCAGGAAGGCUGAUCCCUUUCUUCUGAGGAACUCAGAGGGAGAAACUGGGGAUUAUGGCGACUUUCGUUCCACUUGAGAAACUUGUAUUAUUUGACUUCCACGUUCCCACCAGCCCUGAAAUCUUACAAUUCUCACAUGAAUCACCAAGGGGCCAUGUUGGGGAGAUUUCUGGUUUCAAGAACCAGAGAGGAGAGUCCAAACAAGCUGAGAUACUGGGAGGCACCUGGAAGGGCUGUGUCUGCCAAGCCUGCCUUGUGUCCGGAGCCACUGUGUACCAGCUAUCAAUGGCUGUGUAACAAAACUCUUCCCAAACUGCAUGACUUCAAGCAACAAUAAGCAUUAUUUCCCAUAAUUCUGUGAGUAUGCUCAACUGGGUGAUUCUUCUGAUCCUUGUGGUGUCUGGAGGCCCAGCUGGUCUUGUUACCGAAUCCAAGCUUGCUCUGCUUGGUGCAUGAGAGGCCAGUGAGUCCAAGAGACGAGAUGUUGAGGCAAGGAAUAUGACUUUAUUCAGAAAGCCAGCUGACUGAGACGAUAGCAGACUAACAUCUCAAAAUAACCAUCUUGUCAGGGUCUGGAUGCCAGGUUCUUUUAUGGAUCGGAGAUGGGGGAGGUGAGGAAACAAAAUAAAAAAGACCAUUUAAUUCUUGCA